GAUGAAGAACGUAGUGAAAUGCGAUAAGUAAUGUGAAUUGCAGAAUUCAGUGAAUCAUCGAAUCUUUGAACGCACAUUGCGCCCCUUGGUAUUCCGAGGGGCAUGCCUGUUCGAGCGUCAUUAUAACCCCUCAAGCUUAGCUUGGUGUUGGGGCCUGCUGUAAUAGAGCAGCCCUUAAAAUCAGUGGCGGUGCCAUUAGGCUCUAAGCGUAGUAAUUCUUCUCGCUAUAGGGUUCUGGUGGAUGCUUGCCAUUAACCUCUAAUUUUCUAUGGUUGACCUCGGAUCAGGUAGGGAUACCCGCUGAACUUAAGCAUAUCAAUAAGCGGAGGA
This 330-nucleotide unclassified non-coding RNA is filed under the name soil metagenome. RNAcentral describes it as "partial contains 5.8S ribosomal RNA, internal transcribed spacer 2, and large subunit ribosomal RNA". The stretch from base 1 to 120 matches the Rfam family "5.8S ribosomal RNA", at positions 35 to 154 of the family's 154-position model. The record is from RNAcentral.